This 779-nucleotide ribosomal RNA is filed under the name uncultured bacterium. RNAcentral describes it as "bacterial SSU rRNA". It matches the Rfam family "Bacterial small subunit ribosomal RNA", at positions 40 to 822 of the family's 1533-position model. The record is from RNAcentral.
CGGCGUGGAUUAGGCAUGCAAGUCGUACGCACAGCAAUGUGAGUGGCGCAAGGGUGAGUAAUGAGAAGGUAACCAACCCUGAAGUUGGGCAUAGCCGCGGGAAACUGCGGGUAAUACCCAGCGACGUCACGAGGUGGCAUCAUCUUGUGACCAAAGGUGUGAUUCCGCUUUAGGACGGGCCUUCUUGGUAUUAGGUAGUUGGUAGGGUAACGGCCUACCGAGCCUACGAUGCCUACCGGGUGUGAGAGCAUGACCCGGCACACUGGAACUGAGACACUGUCCAGACACCUACGGGUGGCUGCAGUCGAGAAUCUUCGGCAAUGGGCGAAAGCCUGACCGAGCGACGCCGCGUGAGGGAUUGAAGGCCUUCGGGUUGUAAACCUCUUUCGUAAAGGAGGAAGGGGCCGUGCAGAGCGGUCUUUGACCUAUUCUAGGAAGAAGCUUGGGCUAAGUUCGUGCCAGCAGCCGCGGUAAGACGAACCAAGCGAACGUUAUUCGGAAUUACUGGGCUUAAAGCGCGUGUAGGCGGAUGACCACGUCGAUUGUUGAAAUCCCCCGGCUCAACCGGGGAACUGGCGUCGAUCCAGUUGUUUGGAGGUGGGUAGGGGAGACUGGAACUUUCGGUGGACCGGUGAAAUGCCUUGAGAUCGGAAGGAACGCCCGCGGGGAAAGCGAAUUUUUUGGACCAUUCUUGACGCUUAAACCCGAAAGCCCAGGGGAACCAAACCGGGAUUAGAUACCCCGGUAGUCCCUGGCUGUAAACAUUUGGGCACUGGGUA